This 72-nucleotide transfer RNA is filed under the name Megathymus yuccae yuccae. RNAcentral's name for it is "tRNA-Leu". The record is from RNAcentral. Lineage: Eukaryota; Metazoa; Arthropoda; Insecta; Lepidoptera; Hesperiidae.
ACUAUUUUGGCAGAAAAAAUGCAAUGAUUUUAGAAUUCAUAAAUAUAUAUAUUUAUGCAUAUAUAUGUAGUA